GGAGCUGUAGCUCAGUGGUAGAGCUCUUGCCUAGCAAGUGUGAGGCACGGGUUCAAUCCUUAGCAUCA
This 68-nucleotide transfer RNA is filed under the name Ictidomys tridecemlineatus (thirteen-lined ground squirrel). RNAcentral's name for it is "Spermophilus tridecemlineatus (thirteen-lined ground squirrel) tRNA". It matches the Rfam family "tRNA". From Rfam's summary of the family: Transfer RNA (tRNA) molecules are approximately 80 nucleotides in length. Their secondary structure includes four short double-helical elements and three loops (D, anti-codon, and T loops). The record is from Rfam by way of RNAcentral. Lineage: Eukaryota; Metazoa; Chordata; Mammalia; Rodentia; Sciuridae.